UCCUACGGGAGGCAGCAGUGAGGAAUAUUGCGCAAUGGGCGGAAGCCUGACGUAGCGACGCCACGUGGGGGAUGAAGGCCUUCGGGUUGUAAACCGCUUUUACCACUCACGAAGGCCCCUGGUUUCCCGGGGGUUGACGGUAGGUGGUGAAUAAGGACCGGCUAACUACGUGCCAGCAGCCGCGGUAAUACGUAGGGUCCGAGCGUUGUCCGGAAUUAUUGGACGUAAAGAGCUGGUAGGCGGCCUGUCGCGUCUGCUGUGGAAGUCCGGGGCUUAACUCCGGGUGUGCAGUGGAUACGGGCAGGCUUGAGGUAGGCAGGGGAGACUGGAAUUCCUGGUGUAGCGGUGAAAUGCGCAGA
Molecule: ribosomal RNA, 359 nt
Filed under: uncultured Thermobifida sp.
Lineage: Bacteria; Bacillati; Actinomycetota; Actinomycetes; Streptosporangiales; Nocardiopsidaceae
Description: bacterial SSU rRNA
Rfam family: Bacterial small subunit ribosomal RNA
Source: RNAcentral